This 657-nucleotide long non-coding RNA is filed under the name Oryza sativa aus subgroup. RNAcentral describes it as "lncRNA OsNaBo_09g0001850". The record is from RNAcentral. Lineage: Eukaryota; Viridiplantae; Streptophyta; Magnoliopsida; Poales; Poaceae.
AUGAAACAGGCACUGGACGCUUCUGUUCGGAAAAACGGUUUAUACACUAAUUAAUCACGGUUAAUCGCUAUCGGUAAUCGCAAGUUAAGUUCUCCCGUUGCAACUGAAAGCCGUGGAGUAGAUUUUCUGUUACCCAAGACCCACUCUAUUUUUUAUUAGCCCACUGCCUUCCCUUUUUUUCCGGAUCUGAGGUCUUGGCUCUUGGCGGCGGUAAGCUCGGGUAAGCUGGGGUCGACGGCGGCGAACUUCACCUACACGCUCCGCGCAGAUUUGACAUGCCAUCAUCCUCUGUACCAUCGCGAUGCCCCUGACGAGAAGGCAGCGAUCGAGGAGGUGCGCCCCACGCUAGAUCGGGAGAAAGAGGUGAGCCCGUCGUGGCCCAUAGAGCACCUCCGUCGCACCACCCGUGCAGAUCGGAGGAUGGGACAUCGUCCCUUGCUCUAUGAGGUGGUGGAACUGGACCUGCUGAUAGGCCUCCCCUAUGGACUGAGCUUUAGCGCCGUUGAUCACCAUCUUCACCGGUCGGAGGAGGCCGAAGAUGUAGCCGUCAGAUCAGGCACGACACUGCCGAUCUUCCUCAUAAACAAGAGCUCCGAGGCAAAGCAAGAGUGUGCUGUAGAAGCUUGGCACAAUGCAGAUGCCUUCCCUGUGCGUUAA